Molecule: ribosomal RNA, 116 nt
Filed under: Danio rerio (zebrafish)
Lineage: Eukaryota; Metazoa; Chordata; Actinopteri; Cypriniformes; Danionidae
Source: RNAcentral
UAGAUCUGAAACAUCACUCUGCUGCUCUAUGUGGUUGACCACUGAAGCUAAGCAGGGUUGAUCCUGGUCAGUACCUGGACAGGAGACCACAUGGGAAAACCAUGUUGCUGCUGGAA